CAAGGAAGGAGAAACUACAGGAGCCGUAUGGUUUAAGAAUCUUCAUGAUAUUGACUACAGUAAUUACAACAUUUUGGUCAACAAUGGAUCACCUAAACAAAGAUUUCAAACAUUUCAUUGAAGGAGAUCAAGAAAAUUAAAUACUGAUCAAGAGCCCACC
This is a long non-coding RNA of Symphalangus syndactylus (siamang), 160 nucleotides long. RefSeq lists it as uncharacterized. Lineage: Eukaryota; Metazoa; Chordata; Mammalia; Primates; Hylobatidae. The record is from RefSeq and is a predicted model, not a curated record.